UUGAAAUCCACCGGUUCCUCUUCCAGUCCUCCACCCAGGCUGGCAUCCCAACUUUGCUGUCCCUCACUGGUCGCUUCAGUUCACAGAAAAGUCUCAUCUCAGAUUUAUGAACCUCUGAAGGCCGUGAGGAAUUCAUCACCAUAGUUCAAAUGGUGAACAAUGGACAGCACGGCAGUUCAACCUACAGUCUAACCUACACCCACCCUCGUUAUUACACAACAACGCUAUUUCUUCAUAACUCAGGGAGGUUAAACUUCCAAGCAAACGGUCAUUUGAGUCAGGAACCGUACAGCUCAUGGCACCCAGCUCUCUGCUUUUACAGAUCAGGAAACCGUGGCCCAGAGAGGUUGAGUGACUUCCCCCAGAUCACACAGAGAAAAAAAGAAAUAGAACUCAAGCCCCAGUGUCUGAUCUCUUUCUCUCCUCCCUUGGGACUCAGGGAAUCACAGUUCUAAUUUUGCUCCUCCCACGGGGAGCCUCGGUUUCCCCCUUCUGGCUGGUGAGGUCAGUCUUUGCCUCUCCCCACACCUUUGUCCUAGGUGUGCUAUGAACUCUAAUGAGUUAACAUGUCUCAGAGCCUACGGAACCUCGCAGGAGAUAUAAUUACAGAGAAUUAGCCUCCACGGUCUUCUGGGAAGGAUUUCGGCGGGGAGUAGGAGGACACCGCCCUAACUGCUAAGCCCAGCGAUCCACAGGCUGUUGUGGGAUUGUUGCACUAAACUGUCACUUCCUCCUCUUGUGACCUUGGGGGAUCAACCUGGACCCCAGGACCAAGACCAGCUGAGCCAGUCGCCGGAGAACGGAGGGCGGGUGCAAGGGCUUCCCUGGAGGCUCAGCUGCUAGAGAAUUCGCCUGCAGUACAGGAGACCCCGGUUUGAUUCCUGGAUCAGGAAGAUCCCCUGGAGAAAGGAUAGGCUACCCACUCCUGUAUUCGUGGAC
Long non-coding RNA from Bos taurus (domestic cattle), 939 nucleotides. The record is from Ensembl. NCBI's taxonomy places the organism in Eukaryota, Metazoa, Chordata, Mammalia, Artiodactyla, Bovidae.